This 253-nucleotide ribosomal RNA is filed under the name uncultured bacterium. Its description in RNAcentral is "partial 16S ribosomal RNA". It matches the Rfam family "Bacterial small subunit ribosomal RNA", at positions 524 to 776 of the family's 1533-position model. The record is from RNAcentral.
UACAGAGGGUGCGAGCGUUGUCCGGAAUCACUGGGCGUAAAGGGCGCGUAGGUGGUGGGGUAAGCGUGUGGUGAAAGCCCGGGGCUCAACCCCGGGUCGGCCAUGCGAACUGCCCGACUGGAGCAUGGUAGAGGCCAAUGGAGUUCCGGGUGUAGCGGUGGAAUGCGUAGAGAUCCGGAAGAACACCGGUGGCGAAGGCGGCUUCCUGGACCGACACUGACGCUGAGGCGCGAAAGCUAGGGGAGCAAACGGG